Molecule: ribosomal RNA, 392 nt
Filed under: uncultured bacterium
Lineage: Bacteria
Description: partial 16S ribosomal RNA
Rfam family: Bacterial small subunit ribosomal RNA
Source: RNAcentral
AUACGGAGGAUCCGAGCGUUAUCCGGAUUUAUUGGGUUUAAAGGGUGCGUAGGCGGCCUUUUAAGUCAGCGGUUAAAUCGUGGGGCUCAACCCCAUUCUGCCGUUGAUACUGGGUGGCUUGAUUGCGGUCGAGGUUGGCGGAAUUCGUUGUGUAGCGGUGAAAUGCAUAGAUAUGACGAAGAACACCGAUUGCGUAGGCAGCUGACCAGAUCGCAAAUGACGCUCAUGCACGAAAGUGCGGGGAUCGAACAGGAUUAGAUGCCCUGGUAGUCCGCACAGUAAACGAUGAAUACUUGUUUUCGGCGAUAUAAUGUCGGAGGCAAAGCGAAAGCGAUAAGUAUUCCACCUGGGGAGUACGCCGGCAACGGUGAAACUCAAAUGAAUUGGCGGGG